UCUAGAUUCUGGGACGACCUUUCGUUUUUCUACGACUGUCAUGUUCAGGAAUGUUGGAUACGUUUGAAGGCGGUGCCUAUGUUGACAUACAGGACAUACAGGUGUUGUCUGAUCAGCGUUACGGUCGGACUGUUUCGGUGCAAAUUGUGUUGUGAAGCUUGAAAUUCUUGGAGCGUUUAUAUUUGAGUCAGAGUAUCUUUUCUUUCGGAUGACAUCGGUUUAUUCAACUCUUUCAAA
Molecule: non-coding RNA, 237 nt
Organism: Paramuricea clavata
Lineage: Eukaryota; Metazoa; Cnidaria; Anthozoa; Malacalcyonacea; Plexauridae
Source: the annotation of a GenBank genome assembly